This 591-nucleotide ribosomal RNA is filed under the name Acetobacter sp. Its description in RNAcentral is "bacterial SSU rRNA". It matches the Rfam family "Bacterial small subunit ribosomal RNA", at positions 124 to 747 of the family's 1533-position model. The record is from RNAcentral. Lineage: Bacteria; Pseudomonadati; Pseudomonadota; Alphaproteobacteria; Acetobacterales; Acetobacteraceae.
AUCUGUCCUUAGGUGGGGGAUAACUGUGGGAAACUUCAGCUAAUACCGCAUGAAACCUGUGGGUCAAAGGAGCAAUUCGCCUCAGGAGGAGCUUGCGUCCGAUUAGUUAGUUGGUGGGGUAAGAGCCCACCAAGGCUACGAUCGUUAUCUGGUCUGAGAGGAUGAUCAGCCACAUUGGGACUGAGACACGGUCCAAACUCCUACGGGAGGCAGCAGUGGGGAAUAUUGGACAAUGGGGGAAACCCUGAUCCAGCAAUGCCGCGUGUGGGAAGAAGUUCUUUGGAUUGUAAAGCCCUUUCGAUGGGGACGAUGAUGACGGUACCCGUAGAAGAAGCCCCGGCUAACUUCGUGCCAGCAGCCGCGGUAAUACGAAGGGGGCUAGCGUUGCUCGGAAUGACUGGGCGUAAAGGGAGCGUAGGCGGAUUGUACAGUCAGAUGUGAAAUUCCCGGGCUUAACCUGGGGGCUGCAUUUGAUACGUAUAGUCUUGAGUGAGGAAGAGGGUUGUGGAAUUCCCAGUGUAGAGGUGAAAUUCGUAGAUUCUGGGAAGAACACCGGUGGCGAAGGCGGCUACCCUGUCCAUGACUGACGCU